This 418-nucleotide ribosomal RNA is filed under the name uncultured bacterium. RNAcentral describes it as "bacterial SSU rRNA". It matches the Rfam family "Bacterial small subunit ribosomal RNA", at positions 361 to 771 of the family's 1533-position model. The record is from RNAcentral.
AUUUUGGACAAUGGGCGCAAGCCUGAUCCAGCCAUGCCGCGUGAGUGAAGAAGGCCUUCGGGUUGUAAAGCUCUUUCGGCCGGAACGAAAUCGACCAGGCCAAUACCCUGGUUGGAUGACGGUACCGGAAGAAGAAGCACCGGCUAACUACGUGCCAGCAGCCGCGGUAAUACGUAGGGUGCAGGCGUUAAUCGGAAUUACUGGGCGUAAAGCGUGCGCAGGCGGCCUCUUAAGUCAGAUGUGAAAUCCCCGGGCUUAACCUGGGAACUGCGUUUGAAACUGGGAGGCUAGAGUGCGGCAGAGGGAGGUGGAAUUCCACGUGUAGCAGUGAAAUGCGUAGAUAUGUGGAGGAACACCGAUGGCGAAGGCAGCCUCCUGGGCCAGCACUGACGCUCAUGCACGAAAGCGUGGGGAGCAA